RNAcentral lists this ribosomal RNA (511 nucleotides) under uncultured bacterium. RNAcentral describes it as "bacterial SSU rRNA". It matches the Rfam family "Bacterial small subunit ribosomal RNA", at positions 29 to 524 of the family's 1533-position model. The record is from RNAcentral.
AACGAACGCUGGCGGCGUGCCUAACACAUGCAAGUCGAGCGCGAAAAGGGCAACCUGAGUAGAGCGGCGCACGGGUGCGUAACACGUGGGUAAUCUGCCCUGAAGUCUGGGAUAACCUUCCGAAAGGUUGGCUAAUACCGGGUAAGCUCACGGGGACUUUGGUUCCUGGGAGAAAAGUGGACCUCUAUUUAUAAGUUCACACUUGAGGAUGAGCCCGCGGCCCAUCAGCUCGUUGGCGGGUAACGCCCACCAAGGCAACGACGGGUAGCUGGUCUGAGAGGACGAUCAGCCACACUGGAACUGAGACACGGUCCAGACUCCUACGGGAGGCAGCAGUGGGGAAUUUUCCACAAUGGGCGCAAGCCUGAUGGAGCAACGCCGCGUGUGUGAUGAAGGUCUUCGGAUCGUAAAGCACUUUCGACCGGGACGAAAACUCAUUGCUAACAUCGAUGAGCCUGACGGUACCGGGAGAAGAAGCACCGGCUAACUCUGUGCCAGCAGCCGCGGUAAU